RNAcentral lists this small RNA (606 nucleotides) under Pongo abelii (Sumatran orangutan). RNAcentral describes it as "retained intron". The record is from RNAcentral. Lineage: Eukaryota; Metazoa; Chordata; Mammalia; Primates; Hominidae.
AGCAGCUCCGCGCGCGUUCACGGGCCGUUCCCCCUCAGGGGAGUCCUCCGCCCGGGCGUCCGGAACAGUCGACGGCAGACUCCGGCCCGCUGAGCCACCCGAGGGCUCCCGUGGCCUCCGCGGACCCGGAAUCUGGGCCCUCGCGGACCCGCGCCCCGCCCAGUCGCCCCAGGGUUUCCCCACACCCACGGAGUGAACUCAGCCGCGGCCCUGCCUGGGACAACUUACAGUCUACCGGGAAAGGUGGCCAGCAGAUGUGUCGGGCCUGGUGAGAGGGUGAGGCGAGACGGCCCGAUCGCCCAGGGCCCCGGAAGCUGCGGAGGUCACCCCCGCCUGGCCUUAGCUCAGGGACACCCUGGAUUCACGUGGGAGCCCCUGCUCCUGCCUCCCCCAUCCCACCACUGAGGCUGUUGGGCCAGGCGAGUCAUGCUAGAACGUAAGUCGUAGGGACGGUGGGAGAACUGGGUUAAGAUGCACAGGCCCAGGUCCCCGAGUGUGCCAGGGUUGGGCCUGGAGGCUGUGCUUGUGACUAGUGACCUCGAAGAUCCCAACACCCUGGCUCCUGGCUUGGAGAAACCCUGGGCUGGGACUCUGAGGUAAUUAGAG